GGUCUCGAGGCUAGUUGCAUGCUGAAUCGAUUUACCACCUGUCUGCUGUCCCAUGAUCAUUAUAUGAAACAAAGGACACUGAUAAUCCAUAAUCAUAACCACAGUAGAGGUUUAAUAAGUCUAUCCAAGUUGACCUCUGAAGGUGUGUAUUUGUGAAUUCCAGUCAAACCUGUCAAACAGGUUUUAGGGACAGUAACACCACAUGAAUUUUAUUAACACCUUCAAUGAAUGCUGGUUACAAAUAUGGUCUGAUUAUGUAUGAAUUUUUCACCUUAGCACCUCUUUAUUGCUACUGCUUUAACACCAAGAUAUUUUCCAACACAUUAUUUUCUUCAUCAAUAUAUCACUGAACAGAAGACAAGUGUAUUUCACAGAUUUAGAGUCAUGUAUUAAUUAAAAAUAGUCAAAAACAACUAAGCUUGUGUUCCACAUUCACUAAAGACAAGUCUAUGUUUUAAUAAGUUUAUUCUCGAGCCAUGCUCUGGCCUCCGGGUCCUGACAGCUCCUACAGGGGCCAAAGAAAAACAGUUUUAAAAGCCAGCAGGCGAAACUGUACAUUCAUAAAUUGUAUACAAGUUGCUAUAUCAAAAUGCAUAACACACAACAGUUUAAAGCUGCAGUUACAAUAUACAAGGAGAAUACUCAACUCUGCGAGACAAUUCAGACAAGCAGCACAAUCACUUACCCUAGACUCCUGCACCAGAGCACAGAGGUCACAGAACAGGACACACAAGAGAUCCUUGAUACAUGAGCCUUCGAUUCCCUUCUGCUCCCUGAUCUUUCCACGGAUCUGAGUUCUGCACCAAAAGUUAAGAAUUGGGACGAAGUAGGAGAGUCCGUACAUAACGCAGUUCUCGCCGAGUUGUUCAGCAUUCUUUCCGAAGGUGUAGCAUGGCACAAACCAUGUGAUGAUACCUGCAACAAAGAAAGAGCACUGAGAACUGCAAAAACUUGCGAAAAUAUGCAAAUAAAAUUCGAUAAAAAUUUUACGGCUGCAACUCACAGGUGGAGAAGUCCUCAAAGCAGGAGCAGAGUCCGUUAGACCAGUCGUUCGACAUGAUGAAUCGGUUUGUUCAAGUGUUUUGAAGAGAGCUGAAAAUUGUUGCUUGAAGACG
Long non-coding RNA from Halichondria panicea, 1115 nucleotides. RefSeq lists it as uncharacterized. NCBI's taxonomy places the organism in Eukaryota, Metazoa, Porifera, Demospongiae, Suberitida, Halichondriidae. The transcript is spliced from 2 exons. The record is from RefSeq and is a predicted model, not a curated record.